UGAACCAUGACAUUGCAAAGGCGAUUAACAAUAACACAAAAGGGUGACCUAUAGGCUUUAAGCUGGAUGAUGUGAUAAUGGGAAUCUGGACUGCGAAUUUACAAAAGAAUUGUUUAGAAGUAUGAUAUGAAAAAGAACAAGUGUAUAAUGAAACAGAUGGGUAUGUAGUUGCACACUAUCAAGGACCUCGAUAAAUGUUGUGUACAUGGCAAAAGCUUCAAGUAGAUAACCAAGCUUUUUGUUGUGGGAACUAAUAGAUUCUUAAUAAUAACACGAGUGUUGUGUUG
Helianthus annuus (common sunflower) is the source of this 287-nucleotide long non-coding RNA. RefSeq lists it as uncharacterized. The transcript is spliced from 2 exons. Lineage: Eukaryota; Viridiplantae; Streptophyta; Magnoliopsida; Asterales; Asteraceae. The record is from RefSeq and is a predicted model, not a curated record.